AGUAACGCGUAGGAAUAUGCCUAUUAGUGGGGGACAACUCGGGGAAACUCGAGCUAAUACCGCAUACGCUCCUCUUUAACUAGAGGAGGAAAGUGGGGGGAUCUUCGGACCUCACGCUAUUAGAGUAGCCUGCGUUGGAUUAGCUUGUUGGUGGGGUAAAGGCUCACCAAGGCGACGAUCCAUAGCUGGUCUGAGAGGACGAUCAGCCACACUGGAACUGAGACACGGUCCAG
This 233-nucleotide ribosomal RNA is filed under the name uncultured bacterium. Its description in RNAcentral is "partial 16S ribosomal RNA". It matches the Rfam family "Bacterial small subunit ribosomal RNA", at positions 109 to 334 of the family's 1533-position model. The record is from RNAcentral.